Molecule: ribosomal RNA, 252 nt
Filed under: uncultured bacterium
Lineage: Bacteria
Description: partial 16S ribosomal RNA
Rfam family: Bacterial small subunit ribosomal RNA
Source: RNAcentral
UACAGAGGUCUCAAGCGUUGUUCGGAUUCAUUGGGCGUAAAGGGUGCGUAGGUGGCGCCGUAAGUCAGGUGUGAAAUCUCGGGGCUCAACCCCGAAACUGCACUUGAUACUGCGGUGCUCGAGUACUGGAGAGGAGAUUGGAAUUUACGGUGUAGCAGUGAAAUGCGUAGAUAUCGUAAGGAAGACAGUGGCGAAGGCGAAUCUCUGGACAGUUACUGACACUGAGGCACGAAGGCCAGGGGAGCAAACGGG